UACGUAGGUGACAAGCGUUGUCCGGAUUUACUGGGCGUAAAGAGCGCGCAGGCGGUCGAUCAAGUCGAGUGUGAAAGCCUCCGGCUCAACUGGGGAGGGUCAUUCGAUACUGAUCGACUCGAAGGCAGGAGAGGGUAGUGGAAUUCCCGGUGUAGUGGUGAAAUGCGUAGAUAUCGGGAGGAACACCAGUGGCGAAGGCGACUACCUGGCCUGUUCUUGACGCUGAGGCGCGAAAGCUAGGGGAGCAAACGGG
Molecule: ribosomal RNA, 253 nt
Filed under: uncultured bacterium
Lineage: Bacteria
Description: partial 16S ribosomal RNA
Rfam family: Bacterial small subunit ribosomal RNA
Source: RNAcentral